RNAcentral lists this ribosomal RNA (256 nucleotides) under uncultured bacterium. RNAcentral describes it as "partial 16S ribosomal RNA". It matches the Rfam family "Bacterial small subunit ribosomal RNA", at positions 96 to 353 of the family's 1533-position model. The record is from RNAcentral.
UGGCGGACGGGUGAGUAAUGUCUGGGAAACUGCCUGAUGGAGGGGGAUAACUACUGGAAACGGUAGCUAAUACCGCAUAACGUCGCAAGACCAAAGAGGGGGACCUUCGGGCCUCUUGCCAUCGGAUGUGCCCAGAUGGGAUUAGCUAGUAGGUGGGGUAACGGCUCACCUAGGCGACGAUCCCUAGCUGGUCUGAGAGGAUGACCAGCCACACUGGAACUGAGACACGGCCCAGACUCCUACGGGAGGCAGCAUG